AGAGCGAACGCUGGCGGCAGGCCUAACACAUGCAAGUCGAACGGACCCUUCGGGGUUAGUGGCGGACGGGUGAGUAACACGUGGGAACGUGCCUUUAGGUUCGGAAUAGCUCCUGGAAACGGGUGGUAAUGCCGAAUGUGCCCUUCGGGGGAAAGAUUUAUCGCCUUUAGAGCGGCCCGCGUCUGAUUAGCUUGUUGGUGAGGUAAUGGCUCACCAAGGCUACGAUCAGUAGCUGGUCUGAGAGGAUGACCAGCCACAUUGGGACUGAGACACGGCCCAAACUCCUACGGAAGGCAGCAGUGGGGAAUCUUGCGCAAUGGGCGAAAGCCUGACGCAGCCAUGCCGCGUGUAUGAUGAAGGUCUUAGGAUUGUAAAAUACUUUCACCGGUGAAGAUAAUGACUGUAGCCGGAGAAGAAGCCCCGGCUAACUUCGUGCCAGCAGCCGC
This 446-nucleotide ribosomal RNA is filed under the name uncultured soil bacterium. Its description in RNAcentral is "bacterial SSU rRNA". It matches the Rfam family "Bacterial small subunit ribosomal RNA", at positions 26 to 518 of the family's 1533-position model. The record is from RNAcentral.